This 253-nucleotide ribosomal RNA is filed under the name uncultured bacterium. Its description in RNAcentral is "partial 16S ribosomal RNA". It matches the Rfam family "Bacterial small subunit ribosomal RNA", at positions 524 to 776 of the family's 1533-position model. The record is from RNAcentral.
UACGGAGGGUGCAAGCGUUAUCCGGAUUCACUGGGUUUAAAGGGUGCGUAGGUGGGCAGGUAAGUCAGUGGUGAAAUCUCCGGGCUUAACUCGGAAACUGCCAUUGAUACUAUCUGUCAUGAAUACCGUGGAGGUUAGCGGAAUAUGUCAUGUAGCGGUGAAAUGCUUAGAUAUGACAUAGAACACCAAUUGCGAAGGCAGCUGGCUACACGAAUAUUGACACUGAUGCACGAAAGCGUGGGGAUCAAACAGG